RNAcentral lists this ribosomal RNA (254 nucleotides) under uncultured bacterium. Its description in RNAcentral is "partial 16S ribosomal RNA". It matches the Rfam family "Bacterial small subunit ribosomal RNA", at positions 524 to 776 of the family's 1533-position model. The record is from RNAcentral.
CACGUAGGGGCCAAGCGUUGUCCGGAUUUAUUGGGCGUAAAGAGCUCGUAGGCGGUUCAGUCAGUCGGGUGUGAAAACUCCGGGCUUAACUCGGAGAGGCCACCCGAUACUGCUGUGACUUGAGUCCGGUAGGGGAGUGUGGAAUUCCCGGUGUAGCGGUGAAAUGCGCAGAUAUCGGGAGGAACACCAGCGGCGAAGGCGGCACUCUGGGCUGGAACUGACGCUGAGGAGCGAAAGCGUGGGUAGCAAACAGG